This is a long non-coding RNA of Bombyx mori (domestic silkworm), 4286 nucleotides long. RefSeq lists it as uncharacterized. The record is from RefSeq and is a predicted model, not a curated record. NCBI's taxonomy places the organism in Eukaryota, Metazoa, Arthropoda, Insecta, Lepidoptera, Bombycidae. The transcript has 2 exons.
CCCCUUUGCCAUGGCGCCGCAAUUCCAAGGAGUAUCCCUGCAACCUUCCGAGAGUAUUGGGAUACUUCGGAUCGACAUUUCGAGCGUUGUCCAGUUUCGGAGUCAUUUGGAAGGCAAAGCCAAGUUGGCGUCUAAAAUGCUGGGAGUCCUCAACAGGACUUUUUUGCCACGUACCGUCCAGCUAUGGAAUGAGCUCCCCUCCACGGUGUUUCCCGAGCGCUAUGACAUGUCCUUCUUCAAACGAGGCUUGUGGAGAGUAUUAAGCGGUAGGCAGCGGCUUGGCUCUGCCCCUGGCAUUGCUGAAGUCCAUGGGCGACGGUAACCACUCACCAUCAGGUGGGCCGUAUGCUCGUCUGCCUACAAGGGCAAUAAUUUUUUUUUAUUAGGUAUUUAAUUGAAUUAAAUAUCUAAUGGGAGACUGAUAAAAUAAUCUUACUAUCUUAUUUUUCUAGUUUUAAUGGAAGAGAGACUUGUCUAUAUUUAAACUAUGUAGCUAUACUAAUCCAGCAUAAACAAGCCGCGGCAAUAAGGAAUCGAAUAUAAAAUGGCGGCGGCGAUCAUGCGCUCUCGCUCUAAACUAUUGCUAUCUUUAGUCGCACACGGCGCGUACUGCAUGCAAAAAAAUAUCAUUUCUGACUUUGUUCUGUCUUCUGACACUGUCUCGACGCGCUCUGUUUUCUCUCAAAUUCUGUUGUUAUUUGUUGCAUUUGUUCGUUAUUUCGUUGUUAUUGUUAUCGAUUUUUUGUGCCACGUGUAGUAAAUAUUAUGGCCUCUCACAAACGAGGAAAAGUCCUUCACAGUGAUGCACGCGAAAUCGUGUAUAUCGUUAUUAAAUACUUUGAAGAGGAAAAUAAUCUCGAGCGGUAUCAUCCAUUCGAGUAUAGUAAUGAUCGUGCUGCCAUGGCCACGGGAUUAUCAGUAAGCACAAUUGUGAAGAUAAAAAAAGAAGGCAAAUUAGCUGAGCAGACGAAAACGAGGAUUCGUACUCCGAGCAAAGGAAAACGUGGUCAAAAUAGCACCAGAGUUCCAAUUGACACUUUUGACAUCUGUGCGAUAGGCAGUAUUGUCAAUUCAAUCUAUGAUGUGCGGAAGCUUCCAACGCUGAACAAGAUAUUGGCAGCAGCCAAAAAGGAUUUAAAUUAAAAUUAAAUUAAAUUAAAAGGGCCAAUAAAAAAACUGUAGUGUGGACGAGAGUUGGAUCCAUAUUCACUACGCGGUGAGCAAAUGCUGGCAGAGCUCUAGGGACAAAGGAGUUAGAAAAAAUUAUAGUCCUGGUCAAAGGUGGAUAAUUGUUCACGCAGGCAGCGAGUACGGAAUUGUGCCCGGUGUUGAUUUGCUUUUUAAAAUAAAAUCAAAGAAAGGCGAUUACAAUAACGAAAUAAUGAAUGGAAAAAAAAAGUUGGAAAUAUUUAAACGAAAAAUUAAUACCCAACCUGCCACCAUCAUCCAUACUAGUAAUGGACAACGCGUCGUAUUAUUCGAUGCAAAUUGAAAAAGCGCUAUCAUCGGCUACCCGCAAAGCGGAUAUCAAAACUUUUAUGAGAAAACACAACAUCACAUUCGAAGAAGAAUGCACAAAAGCAGAGCUCCUGACACAGUUGAGAAAAGAAUUACCACAAAAACGUUAUGUUGUGGACGAGUUGUUAAAAUCACAUGGGCAUGAAGUGCUCCGAUUACCCCCAUACAAUUGCGACUUAAAUUUUUUUUUUUAUUGCCUUUGUAUGCAGACGAGCGUACGGCCCACCUGAUGGUAAGUGGUUACCGUCGCCCAUGGACUUCAGCAAUGCCAGGAGCAGAGCCAAGCCGCUGCCUACUGCCUCAUACUCUCCACAAGCCUCAUUUGAAGAAGGACAUGUCAUAGCGUUCGAGAAACACCGUGGAGGGGAGCUUAUUCCAUAGCCGGAUGGUACGUGGCAAAAAAGACCUCUGGAAACGCACUGUGGAUGACCGCAGUGGCUCCAGGUAGUAUGGAUGAACUCUACUCCGGUGGCGGGCGGUGCGAUGGUAAAAACGAGACGUUGGUAUCAUCUCGAACAAUUCCUCAGAGCACUCCCCAUGGAACAUGCGGUACAAAAUACAGAGGGAACCGAAGUCCCUCCGCAGACCCAGAGGUUCCAAACGAUCCGUGAAAAUGGGAUUACCGACAAUCCGAACGACCCUCCGCUGUAUGGAGUCAAAUGAACGAAGCUGGUAUUUGGGAGCCCCGGCCCAGAGAUGGGAGCAGUACUCCACGCGAGGCCGGACUUGUGCUUUAUAGAGCAAAAGUCUUUGUCCAGGCGUGAAGUACCGCUUCGCUCUGUUGAGGACUCCCAGCAUUUUGGACGUCAACUUGGCUUUGCCUUCCAAAUGACUCCGAAAUUGGACAUCGCUCGAAAUGUCGACCCCAAGUAUCCCGAUACUCCCGGAAGUUUGCAGGGAUACUCCUUGGAAUUGCGGCGCCAUGACAAAGGGGUCCUUCUUCGCAGUGAACGUGCAAACUUGCGUCUUUGACGGGUUGAAUUGAACCAAGUUCAAUUCACCCCAUUCGGAGACUCGCAACUCGUAGUCAGCAGGCGCUUGGUGACCUUGAGCUCUUCGAGGAUGGAGACAUUGGUUCUCAUAGCUGUCCAAGGAAUGAGUAGCAGCUUUUUCCAACACCACUUUUCAAAGGCAUCGAUCUUUUUGCGUCCUAUUUUCCUGAGACACCAAGUCUCCAUUACUUAUUAUUCUCCACUAUUAUUACAAUCAAUAGCUGUUAAAAUGUAAAUUCCCAUUCUCGGUCAAAAAGACCGCCCCCGGUCGUGCCAGAUGCAAAGGUACCCAUUACACCAGUCGCGUUGCCGCGCUGGAUAGCAGUGGACAGCCUCUGCACCAGGAACAACCCGGAGCGGGGGUCAAAACCUUUCUCCUUCAGUCUCCGGCUUACGUCGACAAAAAAACUUUUCGCUUCUGCGCCCCAACAACCAACCGACGUCUCAAAAGCCAACGGCACAAAAAUACAUUUAUUGAUAAGGGGCGUGUAUUUUUCCCUUUUUUUAUGGGCGGCAAGCUUGGCAGCCGCGCCGGUCGUUCGAGUUGUGCGACUUACGGCCUGGCCACGGGGAUCGGCGGUGCGAACAGCGAAGCGGUGGACGAGGCGACCAUUCGCGCAGCACCGUUUGCAGGCCACGGGUACUCACGUUCGCCGCCGCGACUAGUAAGGAAGUCCGACAGCGAAAUGUCUAUAUCGAAAUUAUCUCGAUAUUGCUUACAAAUUAAUAGCUUUUUGGUUCAGGACCUAUUAUUUGGAAAAUAUUGUGAAGUACAUGAUUUGAAUAAGAAUCGGAGUAUACCUAAAGAUGGAGAAUUCCACAAGAAGUACGAGAAAUACUUUGGGUGGCUAGACUUCCAAAUAGCUGGUCUAGCUAGUAUUUCAGCAAUUUUUUUUUUUUAUUGCUUAGAUGGGUGGACGAGCUCACAGCCCACCUUGUGUUAAGUGGUUGAUGGAGCCCAUAGACAUCCACAACGUAAAUGCGCCACCCACCUUGAGAUAUAAGUUCUAAGGUCUCAAGUAUAGUUAUAAUGGCUGCCUCACCCUUCAAACCGAAACGCAUUACUACUUCACGGCAGAAAUAGGCAGGGUGGUAGUACCCACCCGUGUGGACUCACAAGAGGUCCUACCACCAGUAAUUACGCAAAUUAUAAUUUUGAGGAUUUCAUUUUUAUUACACGAUGUUAUUCUUUCACCGUGGAAAUCAAUCGUGAACAUUUGUUGAGUACGUAUUUCAUUACAAAAAUUGGUACCCGCCUGAUAUUCGAACACCGGUGCAUCGCUCAACACGAUUGCACCGGACGUCCGUUAGGCCACGACGACUUUAAAAAUAUAAAAUAAAAAAUAUAAAAAUUUCGGCGUUCAUUUUUCGCGGCGAAAACAACUAAACUCAUUUAAUCACUGUACUAUUCGCCGCGACUACCGCUCGACUCCGUGGCUCGCGCCGUCCGUAUUCAUGCAUUUGUUUUGCUCGCCCGCCGCAUCGCGCGAUUCGCUCGGUACAUUUCGCCGGUCGCUUCGCCGGUCGCCGGUGCGCGUGGCUUGUUAGGUACAUUUCUAUGCGCUUGUUUUAGUCGCUAGACGCUUCGCCGUUCGCACCGCGCGAAUAUUCGUAUCGGCGAAUGUCCCGUGGCCAGGCUGUUAGAUGACUGGCAGCAAAAGUGUCUACGCAAGUUGCAUCCCAAAUGAGAGACGUCCCCCUCUGCCAGGGCACCAAAGUAAAGUAAAGUAUAUUCUCAUUUUUUUAAUUUUUUUACAAUAAACAUUUUUUUCUUUC